GAUGAACGCUGGCGGCGUGCCUAAUACAUGCAAGUCGAGCGAACAGACGAGGAGCUUGCUCCUCUGACGUUAGCGGCGGACGGGUGAGUAACACGUGGAUAACCUACCUAUAAGACUGUGAUAACUUCGGGAAACCGGAGCUAAUACCGGAUAAUAUAUUGAACCGCAUGGUUCAAUAGUGAAAGACGGUUUUGCUGUCACUUAUAGAUGGAUCCGCGCCGCAUUAGCUAGUUGGUAAGGUAACGGCUUACCAAGGCGACGAUGCGUAGCCGACCUGAGAGGGGGAUCGGCCACAAUGGAAAUGAGAAAAGGGCCAGAAUACUACGGGAGGCAGCAGUAGGGAAUCUUCCGGAAUGGGCGAAAGCCUGACGGAGCAACGACGCGUGAGGGAUGAAGGUCUUCGGAUCGUAAAACUCUGUUAUUAGGGAAGAACAAAUGUGUAAGUAACUAUGCACGUCUUGACGGUACCUAAUCAGAAAGCCACGGCUAACUACGUG
Molecule: ribosomal RNA, 497 nt
Filed under: uncultured bacterium
Lineage: Bacteria
Description: partial 16S ribosomal RNA
Rfam family: Bacterial small subunit ribosomal RNA
Source: RNAcentral